UACAGAGGGUGCAAGCGUUGUUCGGAAUUACUGGGCGUAAAGCGCACGUAGGCGGAUUGUUAAGUCGGGGGUGAAAUCCUGGAGCUCAACUCCAGAACUGCCUUCGAUACUGGCGAUCUCGAGUUCGGGAGAGGUGAGUGGAACUGCGAGUGUAGAGGUGAAAUUCGUAGAUAUUCGCAAGAACACCAGUGGCGAAGGCGGCUCACUGGCCCGAUACUGACGCUGAGGUGCGAAAGCGUGGGGAGCAAACAGG
This 253-nucleotide ribosomal RNA is filed under the name uncultured bacterium. RNAcentral describes it as "partial 16S ribosomal RNA". It matches the Rfam family "Bacterial small subunit ribosomal RNA", at positions 524 to 776 of the family's 1533-position model. The record is from RNAcentral.